AAAUAACACUAGCAUUUUGCCAUAUUCCAGCUCUGGGCCAGCUCUGCUUCCUGGUCUGCCUUUCAAUCUUUUCCUUGCUUCUGGCAUGAGUUCCCUUCUCUCCUGAGAAACCAAUGAUGCAUUUGAAAAUACACAUAGCUAUACAUAUUGUAAAGAUAUCAUUUAGCAAGGAUGCGCCUUAUUGGAUGGCCUUUCAUGUUGCUGGGACAGAGAACAGGGCAGUUCCAGGUCCCUGCAAAUGACGGAAGCAGUCCUGUUUCAAAACGCUAUUAAGCAUGCUUCUGAGCUGCGGACAGUCAUCGGACCAGUCUUCAGCCGUGCCCAUGACAGUAGCAGUGACAGCACACCACUUUGCUCAUGAUAUGGAUCAGGGUUAAUUUUCAAGUUUUAGAUGGCUCUCCCUCUUUGAGUUGCCAUUUGUUUCUUCUUAUAACCUACUGAUCAUGCCUUUAGUAUUCAUAAAUAUUGAAAAGGGAAGGCCUCAGGUGACUUACAAAGGCGCCGAUGUAAAUACGUGUUUCUGGGGAGAAGUGAAGGUGUUGGAUGAUGCCUGACUAUCACAGGUGUUCUUGUACCACAU
Cebus imitator (Panamanian white-faced capuchin) is the source of this 580-nucleotide long non-coding RNA. RefSeq lists it as uncharacterized. The transcript is spliced from 3 exons. Lineage: Eukaryota; Metazoa; Chordata; Mammalia; Primates; Cebidae. The record is from RefSeq and is a predicted model, not a curated record.